CCUUCGGGAGCUUAUACAGGUGUUGCAUGGCUGUCGUCAGCUCGUGCCGUGAGAUGUUCGGUUAAGUCCGCUAACGAGCGCAACCCUCGCCGUAUGUUACAAGUGUCAUACGGGACUGCCGGUAAAAAGCCGGAGGAAGGUGAGGAUGAUGUCAAGUCAGCAUGACCUUUAUAUCCAGGGCUACACACACGCUACAAUGGCCAACACAAUAGGUUGCUAAGCCGCGAGGUGGCGCCAAUCCAUAAAGUUGGUCUCAGUUCAGAUUGUAGGCUGCAACCCGCCUGCAUGAAGAUGGAGUUGCUAGUAACCGCAGGUCAGCUAUACUGCGGUGAAUACGUUCCCGGGGCUU
Molecule: ribosomal RNA, 349 nt
Filed under: uncultured Leptolinea sp.
Lineage: Bacteria; Bacillati; Chloroflexota; Anaerolineae; Anaerolineales; Anaerolineaceae
Description: bacterial SSU rRNA
Rfam family: Bacterial small subunit ribosomal RNA
Source: RNAcentral